This 617-nucleotide long non-coding RNA is filed under the name Daucus carota (carrot). RNAcentral describes it as "long non-coding RNA (DCAR_LNC003492)". The record is from RNAcentral. Lineage: Eukaryota; Viridiplantae; Streptophyta; Magnoliopsida; Apiales; Apiaceae.
UGGCAAAUCUGGUAUGCCUUUCAAGUAGAAAGUGUAGAACAACUUAAAGGGAAAUAUCAGCUGUUGUAGCUUCACCUGUCCAUACACUCCUUCGAAAAUGCCAGAGCCACCAGUGACAGCGAGGUAAGUGUCCUCGUAAGUUAAGUACUGUCCCUGCACACAUAUGUGACCAUAGUCUCCAAAGUAGAAGCUGAAUGUCGCCUCAUAACGAUCACCUUUCUUUUCCGGUACAUUCUGGAUCAGAACGCAUAGUCCUGCUGUUAUUCCCACACGUUUCUGCAAGUCUCCGGUAUAGAUCUGUAAUAAUCAUUUUUUAGUACUUGUUGCAGUGGGAUUGGUUUACAUAGAAAUUGUUAUGUUUUAUUACAACCUAUUUUCUGUCUAUAAAAUUGAUAAACCAAACUAUUAAUCACCGUUUAAACAGAGCAUAAAUCACAUACUAGAUUAUUUGUAGGCUAAUUAGUUUGUUUUUGAAUGAAAACACUUGUAAAAGGAUUAAAAUUGAUUACUUUGUUGCUGAAAGGAACGAGAUCGCCCAAGGAAUUGACGGAUUUCUGGCUUAGACGAAGAUAGGCAGGGCUGCCACGGUCUCUCUCGUUGAUUUCAUAGACACACAG